Molecule: ribosomal RNA, 632 nt
Filed under: Enterococcus sp. Ri2Pt_4016
Lineage: Bacteria; Bacillati; Bacillota; Bacilli; Lactobacillales; Enterococcaceae
Description: bacterial SSU rRNA
Rfam family: Bacterial small subunit ribosomal RNA
Source: RNAcentral
GACCGAGCAACGCCGCGUGAGUGAAGAAGGUUUUCGGAUCGUAAAACUCUGUUGUUAGAGAAGAACAAGGAUGAGAGUAAAAUGUUCAUCCCUUGACGGUAUCUAACCAGAAAGCCACGGCUAACUACGUGCCAGCAGCCGCGGUAAUACGUAGGUGGCAAGCGUUGUCCGGAUUUAUUGGGCGUAAAGCGAGCGCAGGCGGUUUCUUAAGUCUGAUGUGAAAGCCCCCGGCUCAACCGGGGAGGGUCAUUGGAAACUGGGAGACUUGAGUGCAGAAGAGGAGAGUGGAAUUCCAUGUGUAGCGGUGAAAUGCGUAGAUAUAUGGAGGAACACCAGUGGCGAAGGCGGCUCUCUGGUCUGUAACUGACGCUGAGGCUCGAAAGCGUGGGGAGCGAACAGGAUUAGAUACCCUGGUAGUCCACGCCGUAAACGAUGAGUGCUAAGUGUUGGAGGGUUUCCGCCCUUCAGUGCUGCAGCAAACGCAUUAAGCACUCCGCCUGGGGAGUACGACCGCAAGGUUGAAACUCAAAGGAAUUGACGGGGGCCCGCACAAGCGGUGGAGCAUGUGGUUUAAUUCGAAGCAACGCGAAGAACCUUACCAGGUCUUGACAUCCUUUGACCACUCUAGAGAU